AGAACGAACGCUGGCGGCAUGCCUAACACAUGCAAGUCGAACGAGACCUUCGGGUCUAGUGGCGCACGGGUGCGUAACGCGUGGGAAUCUGCCCUUAGGUACGGAAUAACAGUGAGAAAUUACUGCUAAUACCGUAUGAUGUCUCCGGACCAAAGAUUUAUCGCCUAGGGAUGAGCCCGCGUUGGAUUAGCUAGUUGGUGGGGUAAAGGCCUACCAAGGCGACGAUCCAUAGCUGGUCUGAGAGGAUGAUCAGCCACACUGGGACUGAGACACGGCCCAGACUCCUACGGGAGGCAGCAGUGGGAAUAUUGGACAAUGGGCGAAAGCCUGAUCCAGCAAUGCCGCGUGAGUGAAGAAGGCCUUAGGGUUGUAAAGCUCUUUUACCCGGGAAGAUAAUGACUGUACCGGGAGAAUAACGCCCGGCUAACUCCGCGCCAGCAGCCGC
RNAcentral lists this ribosomal RNA (445 nucleotides) under uncultured bacterium. RNAcentral's name for it is "SSU rRNA". It matches the Rfam family "Bacterial small subunit ribosomal RNA", at positions 26 to 518 of the family's 1533-position model. The record is from RNAcentral.